RNAcentral lists this unclassified non-coding RNA (1286 nucleotides) under Hevea brasiliensis (rubber tree). Lineage: Eukaryota; Viridiplantae; Streptophyta; Magnoliopsida; Malpighiales; Euphorbiaceae. The record is from RNAcentral.
GCUCUCUCUCUCUCUCUCUCUUUUGAUCUGUCCUCUCUUUCCUUUUGAUGUGGGGCUUGGUCUUAAGAAACAAGGAAACAUGAAAGGAAGAAAAGAGGAACAAAAGUGCAGGAAAUUCCUCAGAAAACAGGGCAUAACACACCCCAGGGUGUGUCCCAGCAGCCCACCACACACGCCAGGGCAUGUGAUGUUCUGUCACAGCAAUCCAGCAGCGGGAAAUUGUUGUAAAAUUGAUUUUUUUCAGUCCAAAACUCUUCUAACUGCAAUCCUAUCACAGAUACUUCCUAUUCCAGUAAAAGAUUAUGCUCCAGAUUUAAUUUCCAGCCGGUUUAUUGUUUUAAUUAGGAUUUAUUUAUUUUCCUAUUUCAAUUAGGACUUGUUUCUAGUUUUCCUAAUUUACUUAGAAUUAGUUAUUUAAGUUUCCUUCUUUAUCUAUGGUUUAGUUUGUUAUAUUUAUAACCCAAAAUUCUAGUUGAUUUGGAAAAUCCUUUUCGUAAUUAAUAUUCCUAAAUUGAGUGGGAUUUGUAAUUAGAUUAGGAUUGAGGGGAUUAACACUAUAAAUAGAAGUAUGAUGAACAGAUUAGGCUUUCAACUCAUGGAGUGAGACUGUUACCCAUUGCAGAGAAAGAUUUUGUCAAUUGUUGAAGAUUUGGCUUUGUCCAUUGAUGAGGACUCUUGCCCAUUGCAGUCCCAUGGAGUGAGAGAGGCUUUGGCCUAAAGUAGAGAAGGACAUAGUCCAACAGAAAGGAGCUAUUGUCCAUUGUAGUUAAAGACACGCUUUAUGGUGUUGGUGUAGUGGCAGUUAAAAUAGUAAAUAUAUUGGAUUAUAUCUAGAGGAAAUUGAGAGAAUUAAUAUAUUUACUAUAAGCAGUUUUUGCAAGGGUUCUCUUGGAUGUAAUUGAGUUUAUGGGGAAUAUAGUUUUGAACUUGUAAUGGAUGAUUUAUUUAUAUAAUGAUAGUGCAAGAUGGCAUGCUUGUGGACGUAACGCUAUAAGGAGAGGGUAAACCACGCAAGUAUUGAUGUUUUGUAUGUUUGCUUUAUUCCUUUAUAGUUUACAUGUUUCUCGAUGCAUAACAAUUGGUAUUAGAGCAUGGGAAUUAUCUUGGUGAGUUCAAUUGAAGGUGGAGGAGCUAUGACAUGUAGAAAGCCACACAUGCAAUAAUGAUGUGCAAAGGUCAAGGUGGUGGAGAGUUGAAUUUACAGUGGAACUCUUGAUGCAAAAUCAAGAUGGCUUGAUGGCGCAAAAAUUGUUUGAAGAAAUAAGCAAGUUACACCUAAGAUGAAG